UACGGAGGGGGCUAGCGUUGUUCGGAAUCAUUGGGCGUAAAGCGCACGUAGGCGGUUCGUUAUGUCGGAUGUGAAAGCCCUUGGCUUAACCGAGGAAGUGCAUCCGAAACUGACGAGCUAGAGUACGAAAGAGGAUCGCGGAAUUCCCGGUGUAGAGGUGAAAUUCGUAGAUAUCGGGAGGAACACCGGUGGCGAAGGCGGCGAUCUGGGUCGAUACUGACGCUGAGGUGCGAAAGCGUGGGGAGCAAACAGG
This 253-nucleotide ribosomal RNA is filed under the name uncultured bacterium. Its description in RNAcentral is "partial 16S ribosomal RNA". It matches the Rfam family "Bacterial small subunit ribosomal RNA", at positions 524 to 776 of the family's 1533-position model. The record is from RNAcentral.